This 547-nucleotide ribosomal RNA is filed under the name uncultured bacterium. RNAcentral describes it as "partial 16S ribosomal RNA". It matches the Rfam family "Bacterial small subunit ribosomal RNA", at positions 355 to 895 of the family's 1533-position model. The record is from RNAcentral.
UGGGGAAUUUUGGACAAUGGGCGAAAGCCUGAUCCAGCAAUGCCGCGUGUGUGAAGAAGGCCUUCGGGUUGUAAAGCACUUUUGUCCGGAAAGAAAUCCUUGGCUCUAAUACAGUCGGGGGAUGACGGUACCGGAAGAAUAAGCACCGGCUAACUACGUGCCGGCAGCCGCGGUAAUACGUAGGGUGCAAGCGUUAAUCGGAAUUACUGGGCGUAAAGCGUGCGCAGGCGGUUUGCUAAGACCGAUGUGAAAUCCCCGGGCUCAACCUGGGAACUGCAUUGGUGACUGGCAGGCUAGAGUAUGGCAGAGGGGGGUAGAAUUCCACGUGUAGCAGUGAAAUGCGUAGAGAUGUGGAGGAAUACCGAUGGCGAAGGCAGCCCCCUGGGCCAAUACUGACGCUCAUGCACGAAAGCGUGGGGAGCAAACAGGAUUAGAUACCCUGGUAGUCCACGCCCUAAACGAUGUCAACUAGUUGUUGGGGAUUCAUUUCCUUAGUAACGUAGCUAACGCGUGAAGUUGACCGCCUGGGGAGUACGGUCGCAAGAUU